ACACAGGCGGUGGUGCCAGCCUUACAGCUAAAGAGACUUCCAGAACAUCCUGGGGCUAACCUGAGGGAGGGCCGCUGGAGAAGAGUGGCUAGGACGCGAACCUGUGGUAUCUUCAGAGGAAGUGAGCGUUUCCUCUGUGCAAACAGCACCCAUGAAAUCUCCCUGCUGUUACACGUUGUAAAUGGGUUUGUGUUCAGAACCAUUGGGGCUGCUUGGGGUCUGGUGUUGAGAAGAAUCAUAACCCUGAUACUAAAGAGAGCAGCAGGCACUGGGAAACAGAAUCCAACAUCAAGUUCAUUCCAGUCUCUGGCCCCAGAAAGCACGCUGGGGAAACUCUGCUUUAGCGUGACGAGCACUGACCAGAUGGUUAGUUAUGGAGACGUCCAUAAUUGGAACCCAAAGCCUGCAUUCCAAGCCAGUGUGCUGGAGACUACUGGAGACCACACCAGGCCCUUGGCUACCUUCUCUGUGGCCUCCAAAAGAGCAGCAAUCACAGCAGCACCAAAUUUAAGGACCAUGUGAAACUCCAAAUUAACCCUUCAGGAGCUCACCUGGCCGUAGAAGUCUUUGGCCUUCCCAAUCCAAACCCGUCUUACAGCAUUUGCUGAAUUGCUGCACUUCAACCUCAUUCAGCACAGACACGCAACACGCUCCUUCCAUGGCUGCUGUGGCUGAUGCUUUUCCUGAUGUUUGCUGUGGCCAAACGUUCAAGCCCCAGCACUCAUGUGCAGUUCUGUUUUAAUCAGCAGAAUCACUUAACAUCUGAGAAGUUCAGGCACAUUUCUUGUCAAUCAUGCGCUGGCCUCUGUCAGUCUUUGACCUCGCUUCUUUUAGAUUCCAUCUGCCUCUCCUCCUUCGAAACAUGAUGUGACUUAUUUCCAGAAUGGUUUUUUAGAAACUGAGAUUAUGGGAUAAUGAACUGAGCCAGUCUCCGUCAUAGAAAGGGUUUCUUCACCUUCCCCAGUGACUGACCAAAGCUGUGUUGCUAUUCAACAGAUAGCGACAUGUUCAUAGCGCAUAGCAUCAAAACAGCGCACCACUGUGCAGAUACUGACACGUCUAUGCAAUCAAGAACAGUGUGCCAGUGGGCGCUCCGAGUCCCAAGGAGGCACUUCCACUGAUAUCUUGGCCACGACGUGCAAGAGCAACAAGUCAUUAGAUUUGAUUUUCAGAGUUGUUCUACAAGGAACGUAGGCUUCACGUCAUACACGCUCCU
RNAcentral lists this long non-coding RNA (1216 nucleotides) under Callithrix jacchus (white-tufted-ear marmoset). RNAcentral's name for it is "lncRNA (ENSCJAG00000080019.1)". Lineage: Eukaryota; Metazoa; Chordata; Mammalia; Primates; Cebidae. The record is from RNAcentral.